This 94-nucleotide transfer RNA is filed under the name Kocuria sp. SL71. RNAcentral's name for it is "tRNA-Lys". The record is from RNAcentral. Lineage: Bacteria; Bacillati; Actinomycetota; Actinomycetes; Micrococcales; Micrococcaceae.
GAGCCAUUAGCUCAGGGUUGGUAGAGCAUCUGCCCACUUUUAAUCAGAGGGUCGGAGCGAGGUUCCAAACCUCUGAGUCCUUCAUGGCUCACCA